RNAcentral lists this long non-coding RNA (1305 nucleotides) under Olea europaea subsp. europaea. The record is from RNAcentral. Lineage: Eukaryota; Viridiplantae; Streptophyta; Magnoliopsida; Lamiales; Oleaceae.
UGCAGGCUAUGCAGACACCAUUUAGAAGCUAUCUUCAGGAAAUGUUAGCUCUUGUAAGUACCCGUUCUAAUGUUGUUGCACUGUGGCCUAAUUAUUUCUUAAUUUUCAUUUGGAAUUUUUAUGAUUCUGACUAUGAGUUCUGUCAAAACCAGUUUAGUUCUACCAGUGAUUUACUACAAAUUUUUGGAAAUUUUCAUAUGCAUUUAUGUGUUUGGCUUAGGCCAAUAGAUCUCCUUGUAUGUGUUUUCUCAACUGCCAUACGGAUUUCUACUUCCUCUGUUAAUUCACUCGCAAAGAAGAAAUUUUUCCAUUGGUAUCUCUGAACAAAUGUUUUUUAAUGUUGACCUCAGUAUGUAACUUCAGACGUCAAACGGUAAAUGUUGUGCUUUUGUGGAAAGGGAUGUCUUGGCGGCUGAUGCAUUGAAAAGUUUAUCAUGUAGUUACGACUAAGUGCUUGUUUGGGUUUCGUUAGAAUGAUAUUAUAAUGAAGAGUAAUGAGUCCUAUGAAACGUGUGGAUAAUAAAUGGGUAGUAGUUGUAAAUGUAUGUUUAAAGUUAAUAUUUAACUUUGACUUCAAACUAUAAGGAGAUUUUAAUGAAAUCCAAACAAGCACGAAGUGUCAAAUCUUUCCUUGAUCUGUCUUGAUGUCUUUAUCUCCCAGUUUCUUGAUCUUUAUAUUCGUAGUGCAAGAAAAUAAUGAAUUGCUUUGCCUUUGUGAUGUCUUUUACUUGGAACAUGGUAUUGGUAAAAGAUUAGUGCAAGUGAUUUGGGUUUAUUUUCAUGAAAUUCUCCAAAAUUGUGGGCAGAGAAUGCUGUACAUAGGAUGUUUCUGCGAUCUUCCUUUUCCGAUAAAUACUUACAUUUGAAGUACUAAUUUAUGUCUGUGUUUAAUAUUUAUGCAGGUAAAGAAAGAGCGAGCUGAACGUGAGGCUUUGGGCGCUUUGCCCCUCUAUGAGCGCACAAUUCCAUGAUUCUCUUCUAGUGCAGGUUUGUGACAUCCUUGGCUAAACGAUUAUUUACAGAGAGAUGGCCAAUUUCUAUUUCUGAUUGAUUUUCGUAUUCUGAAUAAUAAGAACAGUGAUCCUGCUCUAGGUCUAUGGACCAGGAAAUAGAGGAUUAUUCUGUAUUUCAUGAUGUUUGAUGAUCAAAAUCACUUGGAUUUGUUUUUCCUCAUCUGGGAUGUUUGUUCGCCCUUAACAAUGUUUGAACGAAUCUUUCUGUUUCUUCUGUCUCUCUCUUGAGUGUCUCCAUCAUCUUUCCAUCCCUCCAUUCUCUGUGCCUGCCUUAAUUCUAUUAUUAAAUCAC